Molecule: ribosomal RNA, 896 nt
Filed under: Apis mellifera ligustica (common honey bee)
Lineage: Eukaryota; Metazoa; Arthropoda; Insecta; Hymenoptera; Apidae
Description: partial large subunit ribosomal RNA
Source: RNAcentral
GUGAUUAAAAUUUAUAUAAUGAUUUUAAAUAUCUCGAAAAUAAGGGAGCUAUAUUUAUAUUAUUUUUUUUGUAGCAAUAAAAUUAUAUAUAUAGAUUUAGAAAUUAAAUGUUAAACGAACUUAUUAAUAUCUAGUUUUCUUAGAAAUAAAUUUAAUUUAGAUAUAAUUAUUUUAGUAAAUUAAAUUUUAUUUUAAUUUAUUAAUUUUUAUAUUAAAAAUUUAUGGGAUAAUCUAUAAAUUUAAGAUAAAAAUUUAAUUUUAAUUUUUAAUGUUAUAGAGAUAAUAUUUUUCUUUAAUUUUAAUAAUUUAAUAAUUUAAUAUUUAUAAAUUAAUAAUGAUUUAAAUUUAUAUUUUAUUUUUCUAUAAAAAUUUAUAUUUUAAUUAAUAAAAUAUAGAAAUAAUGAUUAGAUUAGUAAUAAAGUUAUAUUUUAUAAUGAUAUUUUGUAUUAUAUAAUUUAAAGGAAUUCGGCAAAUAUAUUAUUCACCUGUUUAUCAAAAACAUGUCCUGUUGAUUAUAAUUUUAGGUCGAUCUGCUCAAUGAAUUAUUUUAAAUAGCUGCAGUAUGUUGACUGUACAAAGGUAGCAUAAUAAAUUGUCUUUUAAUUGAAGAAUUGUAUGAAAGAAUUAAUGAAAUAAUAACUGUCUCUAAAUUAUUAAAUGAAUUUAAAUUUUUAGUUAAAAUUCUAAAAUUUAAUUAUGGGACGAUAAGACCCUAUAGAAUUUAAUUUAAUUUUUAAAUUUAUUUAUAAUUUUAAUAAAUAUAUUUAAGAUUAAAUUUGAUUGGGAGGAUUGGUAAAUUUAAUAAACUUUAUUUAAGAUUUAAUUUUGAUAUAAAGAUAAUUUUUUGAAUUAUAAAUUGUAAUUAAAAGAAUAAAUUACCUUAGGGAUAACAGCGU